This 479-nucleotide ribosomal RNA is filed under the name uncultured bacterium. RNAcentral's name for it is "partial 16S ribosomal RNA". It matches the Rfam family "Bacterial small subunit ribosomal RNA", at positions 28 to 507 of the family's 1533-position model. The record is from RNAcentral.
GAUGAACGCUAGCGGGAGGCCUAACACAUGCAAGCCGAGCGGUAUUUGUCCUUCGGGACAGAGAGAGCGGCGUACGGGUGCGGAACACGUGUGCAACCUGCCUUUAUCUGGGGGAUAGCCUUUCGAAAGGAAGAUUAAUACCCCAUAAUAUAUCGAAUGGCAUCAUUCGAUAUUGAAAACUCCGGUGGAUAGAGAUGGGCACGCGCAAGAUUAGAUAGUUGGUGAGGUAACGGCUCACCAAGUCAGUGAUCUUUAGGGGGCCUGAGAGGGUGAUCCCCCACACUGGUACUGAGACACGGACCAGUCUCCUACGGGAGGCAGCAGUGAGGAAUAUUGGACAAUGGGUGAGAGCCUGAUCCAGCCAUCCCGCGUGAAGGACUAAGGCCCUAUGGGUUGUAAACUUCUUUUAUACUGGGAUAAACCUACUUACGUGUAAGUAGCUGAAGGUACAGUAUGAAUAAGCACCGGCUAACUCCGUG